RNAcentral lists this unclassified non-coding RNA (343 nucleotides) under soil metagenome. Its description in RNAcentral is "partial contains 5.8S ribosomal RNA, internal transcribed spacer 2, and large subunit ribosomal RNA". The stretch from base 1 to 120 matches the Rfam family "5.8S ribosomal RNA", at positions 35 to 154 of the family's 154-position model. The record is from RNAcentral.
GAUGAAGAACGCAGCGAAAUGCGAUAAGUAAUGUGAAUUGCAGAAUUCAGUGAAUCAUCGAAUCUUUGAACGCACAUUGCGCCCGCCAGCAUUCUGGCGGGCAUGCCGGUUCGAGCGUCAUUUCAACCCUCGAGCCCCCCCGGGGGCCUCGGUGUUGGGGGACGGCACACCAGCCGCCCCCGAAAUGCAGUGGCGACCCCGCCGCAGCCUCCCCUGCGUAGUAGCACACACCUCGCACCGGAGCGCGGAGGCGGUCACGCCGUAAAACGCCCAACUUUCUUAGAGUUGACCUCGGAUCAGGUAGGAAUACCCGCUGAACUUAAGCAUAUCAAUAAGCGGAGGA